AACAGGAUUAGAUACCCUGGUAGUCCACGCCGUAAACGAUGUCGACUUGGAGGUUGUUCCCUUGAGGAGUGGCUUCCGGAGCUAACGCGUUAAGUCGACCGCCUGGGGAGUACGGCCGCAAGGUUAAAACUCAAAUGAAUUGACGGGGGCCCGCACAAGCGGUGGAGCAUGUGGUUUAAUUCGAUGCAACGCGAAGAACCUUACCUACUCUUGACAUCCAGCGAACUUAGCAGAGAUGCUUUGGUGCCUCCGGGAACGCUGAGACAGGUGCUGCAUGGCUGUCGUCAGCUCGUGUUGUGAAAUGUUGGGUUAAGUCCCGCAACGAGCGCAACCCUUAUCCUUUGUUGCCAGCGAUUCGGUCGGGAACUCAGAGGAGACUGCCGGUGAUAAACCGGAGGAAGGUGGGGAUGACGUCAAGUCAUCAUGGCCCUUACGAGUAGGGCUACACACGUGCUACAAUGGCGCAUACAAAGAGAAGCGACCUCGCGAGAGCAAGCGGACCUCACAAAGUGCGUCGUAGUCCGGAUCGGAGUCUGCAACUCGACUCCGUGAAGUCGGAAUCGCUAGUAAUCGUGGAUCAGAAUGCCACGGUGAAUACGUUCCCGGGCCUUGUACACACCGCCCGUCACACCAUGGGAGUGGGUUGCAAAAGAAGUAGGUAGCUUAACCUUCGGGAGGGCGCUUACCACUUUGUGAUUCAUGACUGGGGUGAAGUCGUAACAAGGUAACC
This 730-nucleotide ribosomal RNA is filed under the name uncultured bacterium. Its description in RNAcentral is "bacterial SSU rRNA". It matches the Rfam family "Bacterial small subunit ribosomal RNA", at positions 771 to 1501 of the family's 1533-position model. The record is from RNAcentral.